Molecule: long non-coding RNA, 502 nt
Filed under: Fukomys damarensis (Damara mole-rat)
Lineage: Eukaryota; Metazoa; Chordata; Mammalia; Rodentia; Bathyergidae
Description: lncRNA (ENSFDAG00000032626.1)
Source: RNAcentral
AUGAAGUCCAUACACUUCAGAAGCCUGGCUCUGGAGUCUACUGAGAAAACACGGGUUCUAGAAAGCUACCUUUUUUUUCCCUCCUGCAGCAUCUCUCCAAUGGCGCCCUCUACUGGUAAAGCUUUGCCAGAAGGCGAAGGGAGACCCUUCAAAGGGCCUGAAUCCAUUUUCACAGAGCAGCCAAAAAUGGUGAAUUUGGAAGUAAAGGAGAAUACAGUCAAAGAUCGACGCAGUGUCAGAUAUUUUGACUCAGCAAUGAGAAAAGUAACUAACGUGCCAAACAUGGAAGCUUCCUCCUCCAGCCCAUCUUGCUCCUUCACCCCACCAGAUCCCAUGCAAAAGAAGCUGUGGAGAUGGAAAACAUCUUCUAGUCCAGCAACGGUGACCCUUUCAGAGCUUUCAAUGACAAACAGCCUGUUCUAGGCCACCACUGUUCUAGUCCCUGGGAUCUCUAGAAUCAGGCCAAAUUACAGCUAUGGAAUCCAUAUAUACCAGGUAAGUA